CCUGACUCUAGUACGAGAGGACCGAGUCGGACGAACCGCUAGUGUACCUGUUGUUCCGCCAGGAGCACCGCAGGGUAGCUAUGUUCGGAUGAGAUAAGCGCUGAAAGCAUCUAAGUGCGAAACUCACCUCAAGAUAAGUUUUCUUUAUAAGGAUCGUGGAAGACUACCACGUUGAUAGGUUACAGGUGUAAAGGCAGCAAUGUCAAAGCCGAGUAAUACUAAUUAUCCGUAAGCUUUCUUAAA
This 243-nucleotide ribosomal RNA is filed under the name Bacteroidia bacterium. RNAcentral describes it as "partial 23S ribosomal RNA". It matches the Rfam family "Bacterial large subunit ribosomal RNA", at positions 2671 to 2925 of the family's 2925-position model. Lineage: Bacteria; Pseudomonadati; Bacteroidota; Bacteroidia. The record is from RNAcentral.